UAAAAAUAUCCCUUGUACAACACUGACCAGUUUUCAUUUGUUUUAGGGUUACUUAGUAACCUUUUUCUUCUCUUUGCAGAUGGAUCGUGAACAGCAAUUGAAUGAGUUGGAGAUGCGUAGCAAAACCUCAUUGGCUUACCCCCUCGAAGUAAAACAAAAAAUCGCUUUUACGCUUUAAUUUGUGAGUUAUUUUAGAAAUUUCAGUGUUCUUUUUAUUGCUUAAUGUUAAUGCUUCAUUGGAAUUUUUUUGGGAUUAAAUUAAAUUUGAAGAUUAAGAAAUUUUUUUCUUUGAGAAGUAUUUAGUUUUAUGAUUUUGUUGAUGGGUAUUGCUGGAAUUGAGAAGAUAAUUGAAAUCGAAGCAAUGCAUCAGAAUUAUGGAGAUUUGAUGAAACUUAGAUAGGAGGAAAGUUUUAAAGUGUGCAUCUUCUGAUCAAUCCUCAACCUUUCAUGUUGCAGUUGCUAGAAACAGGUUAAGCUUAUCCAUGUUGUUUGUACUUAAGGAUUUCAAGGCAAAUCAGAUUUGUCUUUAAUCUGGAUUCAAGGGUUGAUUUUGGAAGAUAACUUUAUAUGUGGGGUUAGUUAUGGUAGAAAUAUAGGUAUAUUUAGUUUAAAAAGUCUCUUACGAAUGGUUUUUAUUCCUGCUUUUAUGCUUUCAUUUUUUCAGGUUUCCUUUCCUUUUUUGUUUUUCAUUUUUUACAACUUCCCUUUCUUUCUGUUGUGGCGUUUUUGUGAUUGUUGUUUCUAUCUUUUUUGAGGUUAAUCUAUAAUUGUAGUUUUUUCCUUUUCCUAAUUGUUGUUCGGUUUCUCUAAUUGUUGUUAAGGUUUGAAACGGUAGAAUUUUUAAUUUUUGUGUUUUGUGCGAGUUUGUUUCGUUUGGUUUUGAGAAUGCUGUAUUGCUACCAGAGUCUCCUAGUACAAGUUCAUUGAUGGCUGCAAGAGAUGACAUAGGGGAAACCCCAAAAGCCUCCGAGGAAGACAAGCCAAGAGGUUUCUUUUUUAGCUUUAAAUAGUGUUAUAGAUCCCUUGAAGGCGCGAUUUUGUUCUUAAGGGUAUCACAAAUUAAUUUUUAGUGGAGUUUAAUAAGGUAAUUAGUCUCAAAUAUUAGAAAGAAUACAAGCUUGGUAAGAAAAAAAUUGUUAAAUCUAAUCAGAAAAUUGGUUUAGUUCUGUUAUAUGACAGAAAACUUUCUGCUAUCUGAUGGAUUAAUCUGAUGUAUUUGUUAACUUUGCAUACUGCUUUAGUGCUUUACAUUAAUUUUAGUAUGCUCUGACUGAGAUGGAUCCAGAGCUGUUCGGUGUAGGAGUUGCUGUGAUGGAAAUAUGAAUGUAAAUACUAAAUAAGGUGCAUCCAAAAGCCUUUGCUUCUGUUUUCUUUUCUAUAAUGCAUGAGUUUGUUGGAGCAGGAUUGUUGAAAAUUUUGCCAUGUGCUUGAGCCCUCCACCAGUUUUGAAAGGAGUGUAACAACAUUACAGAUGUAUCUAUAGAUGGGAAAAAGUAGCUGCCCAAGUCGAGGAUGGACCCUGUGUCACUUACAUUGGCGAAGGAAGAUAAGUGGCGGAGAUUUUCGCAAAAUGGAACAGGGGAGAGCUUGAAAGUUUCUUAAUUGAGAUAACAUCUGAUAUUUUUAGAGUUAAGGACGAGUUGGGUGAUGGGUAUUUGGUGGAU
This is a non-coding RNA of Durio zibethinus, 1664 nucleotides long. The record is from RefSeq and is a predicted model, not a curated record. Lineage: Eukaryota; Viridiplantae; Streptophyta; Magnoliopsida; Malvales; Malvaceae.